GAUGAACGCUGGCGGCAGGCCUAACACAUGCAAGUCGAACGGUAGCACAGAGAGCUUGCUCUCGGGUGACGAGUGGCGGACGGGUGAGUAACGUCUGGGAAACUGCCCGAUGGAGGGGGGUAACUACUGGAAACGGUAGCUAAUACCGCAUAACGUCGCAAGACCAAAGUGGGGGACCUUCGGGCCUCACACCAUCGGAUGUGCCCAGAUGGGAUUAGCUAGUAGGUGGGGUAAUGGCUCACCUAGGCGACGAUCCCUAGCUGGUCUGAGAGGAUGACCAGCCACACUGGAACUGAGACACGGUCCAGACUCCUACGGGAGGCAGCAGUGGGGAAUAUUGCACAAUGGGCGCAAGCCUGAUUCAGCCAUGCCGCGUGUAUGAAGAAGGCCUUCGGGUUGUAAAGUACUUUCAGCGGGGAGGAAGGCGGUGAAGUUAAUAACUUCACCGAUUGACGUUACCCGCAGAAGAAGCACCGGCUAACUCAGUGCCAGCCGCCGCGGUAA
Molecule: ribosomal RNA, 504 nt
Filed under: uncultured bacterium
Lineage: Bacteria
Description: partial 16S ribosomal RNA
Rfam family: Bacterial small subunit ribosomal RNA
Source: RNAcentral